GGAAAGGUGGCUAUACCGGAUGUGCCGAAAGGUGAAGGCUUGCUGCCUGAAGAUGAGCUCGCGUCUGAUUAGCUAGUUGGUGUGGUAAGAGCGCACCAAGGCGACGAUCAGUAGCUGGUCUGAGAGGAUGAUCAGCCACACUGGGACUGAGACACGGCCCAGACUCCUACGGGAGGCAGCAGUGGGGAAUUUUCCGCAAUGGGCGAAAGCCUGACGGAGCAAUACCGCGUGAGGGAGGAAGGCUCUUGGGUUGUAAACCUCUUUUCUCAAGGAAUAAGUUCUGAAGGUACUUGAGGAAUAAGCAUCGGCUAACUCCGUGCCAGCAGCCGCGGUAAUCGGAGGGAUGCAAGCGUUUCCGGAUAUUUUGCGCAAAAGGCCUCCCGCGGGGGGUUGUGUACGUCUGUUGAAAAGGACUCUACUCUCACCUAGAUAAGAGCGGUGGAAACUACUUAGCUAGAGUACCUUCGGUAAAGGGAAUCCCUGGGAA
This 487-nucleotide ribosomal RNA is filed under the name Nostoc sp. EGY. Its description in RNAcentral is "bacterial SSU rRNA". It matches the Rfam family "Bacterial small subunit ribosomal RNA", at positions 153 to 676 of the family's 1533-position model. Lineage: Bacteria; Bacillati; Cyanobacteriota; Cyanophyceae; Nostocales; Nostocaceae. The record is from RNAcentral.